GAGCCCAUAGUAUAGCCUGGAUACAUCAAAUCCAUGAGAUGUGUGGAUUUGCCCGUAGGGCAAAUAGUACAACACCCUCCUAAGGUGUGAGCCGGGGUUCGAAUCCCCGUGGGCUCG
This 117-nucleotide transfer RNA is filed under the name Candidatus Woesearchaeota archaeon. RNAcentral describes it as "tRNA-Arg". The stretch from base 58 to 117 matches the Rfam family "tRNA". Rfam says of the family: Transfer RNA (tRNA) molecules are approximately 80 nucleotides in length. Their secondary structure includes four short double-helical elements and three loops (D, anti-codon, and T loops). The record is from RNAcentral. Lineage: Archaea; Nanobdellati; Candidatus Woesearchaeota.